Molecule: ribosomal RNA, 369 nt
Filed under: uncultured bacterium
Lineage: Bacteria
Description: bacterial SSU rRNA
Rfam family: Bacterial small subunit ribosomal RNA
Source: RNAcentral
GUAGGGUGCGAGCGUUAAUCGGAAUGACUGGGCGUAAAGGGUGCGCAGGCGGUCUGUUAAGACGGAUGUGAAAGCCCCAGGCUUAACCUGGGAAUAGCAUACGUGACUGGCAGACUAGAAUAUGGCAGAGGGAGGUGGAAUUCCAUGUGUAGCAGUGAAAUGCGUAGAGAUGUGGAGGAACACCGAUGGCGAAGGCAGCCUCCUGGGCCAAUAUUGACGCUCAGGCACGAAAGCGUGGGGAGCAAACAGGAUUAGAUACCCUGGUAGUCCACGCCCUAAACGAUGUCAACUAGUUGUUAGGGAAAUUUUUCUUUAGUAACGUAGCUUACGCGUGAAGUUGACCGCCUGGGGAGUACGGUCGCAAGACUA